GUGCUAACUUCAGCACCUCACGCACUAAAAUUAGAGCCCCAGAGAAGAUUAGCGGUGCCCCUGUACAAGGCUGGCAUGCAAAUUAAUGAAUUGUCCUAUAGUUUU
Molecule: small nuclear RNA, 105 nt
Organism: Myodes glareolus (Bank vole)
Lineage: Eukaryota; Metazoa; Chordata; Mammalia; Rodentia; Cricetidae
Source: RefSeq, a predicted model, not a curated record